UCCGAAUUGGUGUAGUGGUUAACAUUGCCGCCUCUCAGGAAACUUACGUAAUCAAUUACGUGAUGUCCGCGGCAGCCAGGGGUUCGAUUCCCCUAUUCGGAA
Non-coding RNA from Mycena galericulata, 102 nucleotides. Lineage: Eukaryota; Fungi; Basidiomycota; Agaricomycetes; Agaricales; Mycenaceae. The record is from the annotation of a GenBank genome assembly.